AAUUAAACUAGAUUUUAACCUGCGCUAUAUCGCGGGGACAAUUUAUUUUCUUAAAGUUAGUAUAUAUAAAAAUUUACAAAUUUUAUCUAUCUAUAAAAUAUUUUCAUUUUAUAGUUUACAAUUGUUAUUAAAUAACGUCCUGCCAAACCCGUCCCGCCAACCCGUCCCGUAAAAAAACUUAUUUA
This 185-nucleotide small RNA is filed under the name Arabidopsis thaliana (thale cress). RNAcentral's name for it is "ATSL135320". Lineage: Eukaryota; Viridiplantae; Streptophyta; Magnoliopsida; Brassicales; Brassicaceae. The record is from RNAcentral.